This is a non-coding RNA of Macaca mulatta (Rhesus monkey), 5019 nucleotides long. The record is from RefSeq and is a predicted model, not a curated record. NCBI's taxonomy places the organism in Eukaryota, Metazoa, Chordata, Mammalia, Primates, Cercopithecidae.
AGAGCAAAACUCUCUCAAAUAAUAAUAAUAACAAUAAUAAAUAAAAAAAUUCUUCCAGGUAGAGGAGGAAGGAGACUUGUAGCUUUGUAGGCCUGGGUUCAAAUCUUGCUUCUAUCACUUCGUGUCCAUGGGGUCUUGGGCAAGUCAUUUAACUCAUCUGAGUCUCAGUUUCCUUACCUGAAUAGUGGAGGCAGCAGUGAUGCCAUAGUGAGGAUUUGAUGAGCCAGUAAAGGAAGAUCUGAUGCCUGCUGAAUGCUUAUAACAGUUACCUUUGUGAUCAUCAAUGCUCUUUCAUGUAAAAUGAGAAUAAAAAUAGAGACCUCACAAAAACUGUCCUCCUGGCUCUAGGCCAUCUGUGAAUAGGGGAAAUUCAAUUCUUGUUCUUGGGCCAGUCACUCGGCAAGAAUCUGCAGACACAGAGAUGAAUGCAACAGCGCGGUCAGCCCUUGGAUCUCCACAUCUAGUGGACAGGGGAGGCAUAGCGAGGCUGAGGGAGGUGGUAGGGGGCAGAGCAUUAAUUCCCGUGGAAUGGUCAUCAGUGCACUCAUGGCAUUCUUGAUGGGGGUCUCUGGACCAUGCCAAGGGGUCUUCUUUGGUCCAUUCUUAGCCAACAUAUUUAUCAUGGACUUAGUUAAAGUCUGACAAAGUCUUGCUGACUUUGUUGGAAAAGACCAAAGAUGGGAAAAACCCAGUUUCAUAAGACCUCAUGUGAAAGAGACACGGCUAUGACUUUUAGCCGGCUCCCAAUAUUACCUACAUUUUUUCAGUAUUAUGUUAAGAGCUUUUCAUGUAUCGUUCCAUUUAAUCAUUCCAGUAGCUUUAUGAGGUAGGUGCCUGUAUUGUCUUCACUUUAUGGGUAGACACUGAGACUCAGAGAAACCAAAUGGUUUGCCCAGGGCCACAUGCUGUGUUCCAGCUGCCAAAAUGCUAAUGCAACCCCCGACUGCAUGAAUAGAAGAAAGUGUCCUGAGCAUGGGAUGAGACACGUUGUGUUCUGCACUGCCCAGAUCACCCUCAGGGGUGGCUCUCAUUUAAUUCAGAGGUACUGGAGACCUUCCAGUGGAGGGAAAGAGUGAGACCUUGGAGACAUAGGACCUCACAGUCAUGUUCUGUGAGGGAACACGCGCCUGAUGUGGGAGAGAGAAAGCUGACAUCAGGACCACUCCUUCAUAUUUCCAAGAGGCUGCUGUGGGGCAAAGAGAGCUCCAUGUUUCCUGUGAGCAUGGUCCUGUGUUAGCCAUUUAGAGCUGUUUGAAAAUCUAUCUGGUUCCCUUGUGAUGUAGUGAGCCUCCUGUCACUAGAGGUGUUCAAACAGGUUAGAAGUGCCAUUGAAGGCAGGCCUGUAGUGGAUGGGCUGCUGGACAUGUGUAACGCCUCUAGCACAAUGCCUGGCAUAGGGUAGGUGCGUGCAUCAGGGAACCCUUAAGGUUUAGGAGUAAACCUGGCUUCUCUUAAAAAUCAUUUUUUUUUUUUUUUUACAUCCAGGCAGCUCCUUAUAUACUUAGGAGGUAAGAAUCAUUUUAAUGAUGACCAAACAUAUUACAUACACAAUUUCAUUAGAAUUUUGUAACAAUGCUAUUAAUUGUGCCUACCUUAUGGGGUUAUUAUAGUUGAGGAAACUAUAGCACAGAGAGAUUGAGCAACUUGCCCAAGGCCACACAGUAAUUGGCAGAUCUGGGAUUUGAAUCCAGGCCUCUGGCUUUCCCUACGGUUGUCCUUGCCCAUGGAUCUUCCAGGGGCAAGUUUGACCCUCGAAGUCUCUGGCCAACGUUUAUGAUAAUGGAAGGUGUUCCAAGUUUCUUCUCAUGGCUCUGCCUCUGGGAUCUUUGGAUUUACUAGCUGGAAAAGUGAGGACACGUGAUAGAAUCCCUCAACCAGUGGUUGGCUGGUGGACCCACCCCAAGCAGGACAUAAUUUUGAUUCACCCAAUGUGCCUGUGUAGGGAAUGCAGCCAUAAACAAAAUGGAAGAGAUGCCUGUCUGCCUGAAGCUUAUUUUCUUGUUGAAGAGACAGCAGGGAAGAGGCAACUGCAGUGUGGGCUGGUGGGGCUGUGAGUAGAGCAGAUAUCAGGGCCCCACUUAUCUCCCUUUGGACCUCACUGUUGUAGUCCUGACUUACCCUUGACCACUUAGUCCCUGCCCAGGGCCUUUCUCUCCCUGCCCAAGUCCACUGUGCCUACACUUAAGGCAAGCUGGAAAAUGGACGUCCAUUGGGAAUAGCUCCAACCAAUGAUUGAUGGGACUGGUGGAUUAAUACCAUGGCUCCUUCCCUCUAGGCUGAGGUAACUCGGAGCUGUGUGUUCUACACUGAACUCUUAGCUGAAGUUGCCCAUGGUGGGAACUUGCCUGAUAAUAUCCUUUAUUGGCUGCCUUCCUGUCCCUGCCUCAUUUCUCAUUUCCCUGCCAGCAGAUGCUGCGAUCGCCUUCUACAUACACUACCUUCAAUCUUCAUUGUAGACUUGGCUUCUGGAGGGACCCAAAUGACCGUGGCAUAGGACAAAACUCAGGGGCUCUGUGAGCCUAGAAGAGGAGGCGCUGAGCCCGGCCAGGACAGAGGUCCACAGAUGAUCCCCGAAGGAAAAGAAGUCUAAAUGGAGACCUCAAGGAGCGCUUCUCUUUAUUUGUCUAAUUUCCUUAGGAUAAAUUCCCAGAAGGAGAAUCAGUGGGUCUCAGGGUCUCUCAUCUCCUCGAAGUUCCCAACUUUGAAGAUGUGAGUAACCUGCUGGAGAAAUGAUGGCUAUUGUCACAUUGCUGCACACACUCAUGGCCCAGGAGUUGAGGAGGCUGGAGGAGGAGGCCUGGCAGGAAGUGGAGGAGCCACAGUCUGGGUGCCGCCCCACGUCAACCAGCAAUACCCACUGGGGCAGAGAGGCCCAAAGUUACACAACUGGUGAGUGAUGGCUCUUCCAUCCGACCGCAAGUGCAUGGUUCCACUGUCCACUGUGCCCUCAGCAGGAGUGGAGACAUUCAUGGACUUGUGUCAUUGAGAAGCAGUCUAAGGAGGACGAGGCCCACGUAUCCAUGUCUCCAUAGAUUCUGCUCCCCCUUCUCCCACGACUUCCAGAGCAUGUUCUGUUCACAGUAUAUUUUUAGCUCUAGGAAUCUGGCUUGGGGUUGUGGCUGGGCUAAUAUACUUCUAAGUGGCAAGGCCCGAGAUUUGGAGAUGAGGAGAGGACUUGUCACGUGUGGCAGUGGCAGUGGUUCAACACUAAGUGAUCUGUGACCCCUUUGCAUGCCUGGGAAGAAAGUGGCUUACUAAGAAGAAGCCCAUCCAAGGACUAAAUUUCCCAGGUCCUCUUGCAAAGGUGGGGCCUAUGACAUGUGAGUGGAAGUAAUGUGCAUCACUUUCUGGCCAGGGAGCUUAAGAAGAACAUGGAGCUUCUUCGUUUGUUUGCUCUCCCGCCAGUGGGAUGUCAACCAUCAAUGUAAUCUUGGAAACCACGUGUUGAUUAUGGCAGAACCUUCGUCAGCAUGGGUCAUUGACCUAACCCAGUGGUUCUCAAAGUGUGGUCCCUGGACCACCAGCAUCAGCAUUGUCUGGGAACGGGUUAGAGAUGAAAAAUCUCAGACACCACCCUAGAUCUACUUAAUCUGAAAACUCUGGGGUGGGGCCCAGUCAUCUGUGGUUUAAAAAACUUCCAGGGGAAUCUAACACAUGCUCAAGCUUGAAACCCCCUGCUUCUCUUAGUUACCAUUCCAUUCAUAGCUCCUGAGUCGACAGCCAGGCUCAGGACUGCUCAGGAGGUUUCAUGCUUACCCCCGUGGCCAUCCUCACCCUCCACCCUACCCUUGCCUCUCAGGGGGUUUCAUGAAGAAGACAGCAGUGGCACAUGCUCUAUAUAAUUCUUAACAUGGAGGAAGCAGAGGAAAAUGGCAUUCUCAUGAAAUAAUUCAUUAAUUCCUUCCUCAUUUUUUCAUUCUCUGAAGAGUCAUAGAGAAGCGUUAGGUUGACUGGAAAACUUCUCUGGAGGAGUUACAAAAUACAGUUUGGAUCAACAGCCCUAUAGGUAGGUUUUAUUAUCACCACAGUUUUAUAGAUGCAAAACUUGAGGUUCAGGGAGUGUGGGUGAGAGGUGGGGCCAGGAUUCAAGCCUGGUUCUCUCUGCCUCCAUCUUCCACAUUUUUUUGGCACUCUCAUGGCUUCCACGUCUGCAUUGCCAGGUGGUUGGUCUUUUGCAAACAGAACUCACCAAUUGCAACCUCUUUGCACCUAAGGAAGAAUCACAUCGGGCAUCCAGAUCAUUUGAGAAAAAUCUGCUUGUCACCUUUCCCCAGAUACGUUACACAGGGGCAUAUAUUUGCAUUAUGCCUGUGACUAUGAGUUCAAUACAUCCUGAAAGAGUGAAUUAAUGAGUUAAUUAGCAACUGGGUAGCUAGCUUGAACACCUCAUCUAACUUUCCUUAUCUAGAAACUUCUUGUAUUUUUCCAGGUUGAGAAAAAGUUUUCUGCAAAGAAGCUGGCACCCAGCUGUAAUUGCUGCAAUUGCUUGUGGAGGGCAAACAAAUAGACAUAGUCCUCGUGGAACAUGAAUGACAUGGUACAGGUUAGGGCAGUGGUUCUCAAACUUGAACAUGUGUUCAAGAAUCACCUGUAGAACUCCAGAACACAGAUUUCUGUGACCCACCCCAGAGUUUAAGAUUUGGUAGUUCUGGGACAGACCCCAAAAUUUGCAUUUCUAACAAUUUCUUAGAUGAAGCUGAUGCUGCUUGUCUGGGAAUCACACUUUGAGAACCAUUGGAUUAGGGUAAUACCAGAUCCUGCAACAAAACAGCAAUGGCUUGACGCUGUGAACAUGUAUUUCCCACUUCCUUAUAGGGGAAUGACUGAAUACGGUGUGAUAUGACAUAGGAUAUAGCUGUGAAAUGAAUCAAAUAUAAGUGGAUUGAUCUGAAGUGAUAGCUGUGGUCUGAUGACUGAGAUAAGCAACUUGCUAAGAAAUUUAUAUAGCAUAAUCUCAUUUUUGUAAAACAAAACAAAAAAUUAAACCAAAGCCAAAAUAAAACAACCUACUUCUCCAAA